RNAcentral lists this unclassified non-coding RNA (335 nucleotides) under soil metagenome. Its description in RNAcentral is "partial contains 5.8S ribosomal RNA, internal transcribed spacer 2, and large subunit ribosomal RNA". The stretch from base 1 to 120 matches the Rfam family "5.8S ribosomal RNA", at positions 35 to 154 of the family's 154-position model. The record is from RNAcentral.
GAUGAAGAACGUAGCGAAAUGCGAUAAGUAAUGUGAAUUGCAGAAUUCAGUGAAUCAUCGAAUCUUUGAACGCACAUUGCGCCCAUUAGCAUUCUAGUGGGCAUGCCUGUUCGAGCGUCAUUUCAACCCUUAAGCCCUGUUGCUUAGCGUUGGGAGCCUACAGUACUGUAGCUCCCCAAAGUUAGUGGCGGAGUCGGUUUCACACUCUAGACGUAGUAAUUUUUUCUCGUCUGUAGUUGAGCCGGUCCCCUGCCGUAAAACACCCAAUUUAUCAAGGUUGACCUCGGAUCAGGUAGGAAUACCCGCUGAACUUAAACAUAUCAAUAAGCGGAGGA